This 314-nucleotide small nuclear RNA is filed under the name Heterocephalus glaber (naked mole-rat). Its description in RNAcentral is "7SK RNA". It matches the Rfam family "7SK RNA". Rfam says of the family: 7SK was discovered as an abundant small nuclear RNA in the mid-70s but a possible function has only recently been suggested. Two independent studies have found that 7SK RNA binds the CDK9/cyclin T complex (known as elongation factor P-TEFb). Lineage: Eukaryota; Metazoa; Chordata; Mammalia; Rodentia; Bathyergidae. The record is from Rfam by way of RNAcentral.
AGAUGCGCGGGCAAUCUGGCUGCAGUAUUUGUCACUCCAUUGAUGGCCAGGGUCGAUUCAGCUGGUCGGCCGGCUAGGUGCACGUCCACUCCCUCACCACUCCAUGUGUAUCCCUUCCUGAAGCUGCACCCUUGGUCAAAGAGGACGACCACCCCCAAUAGAGGACCAUUUCCUCGAUUGAGGGUAUAUGAGUAGCUGCGCUCCCCUGGUAGAACCUCCAAACAAGCUCUCAAGAUCAAAAUAUAAUAAGCAAACACUGAUAGACAUGAAGAGAGAAAUAAGAUAAUACUAAAGGUAGAAACAGUCAAUUCUAU